CUCGAUUUUACUUGGACUGGCAAUUAGGCUUGGUAGAGGGAGCUGCCAGUCCACACCCUUCCGGCAUGGGUAUUCCCUUUUACCUGAGGUGAUCACAGGUGAUAGCCUGGACUUUGGGGGAUGCAGUGACGCCUGGGAAAGUAGGGUCACUAGGUCAGAGUCGGGAGGACUGCUAGACCCCUACCCCCAAAGGUACUGGACUUGAUACUACCUGAGAGGCUGGAAAAGCCGCAUGUUGGUUAACAGGGUAGGAACGGCGCUUUAGCUGAGGUAGGGAAAUUAUUUAUGUUUAGUGAGAGCCUAGACGGGUAGGUGUUCAUUUGUAUUGUUUUGUGUGUGCUGGUGUUAAAAUAAAUACACUGUUUGGACACGAGAAUCUGUUGUCUGGCAAGGUAUCUGUGAGAAUGACCCUGGAAAAG
Bufo bufo (common toad) is the source of this 419-nucleotide long non-coding RNA. RefSeq lists it as uncharacterized. Lineage: Eukaryota; Metazoa; Chordata; Amphibia; Anura; Bufonidae. The transcript is spliced from 3 exons. The record is from RefSeq and is a predicted model, not a curated record.